GCCGCCGUAGCUCAGUUGGUAGAGCGCAUGAUUUGUAAUCUUGAGGUCGGCGGUUCGAAUCCGCCCGGCGGCU
Molecule: transfer RNA, 73 nt
Filed under: Phycisphaerae bacterium
Lineage: Bacteria; Pseudomonadati; Planctomycetota; Phycisphaerae
Description: tRNA-Thr
Rfam family: tRNA
About the family: Transfer RNA (tRNA) molecules are approximately 80 nucleotides in length. Their secondary structure includes four short double-helical elements and three loops (D, anti-codon, and T loops). Further hydrogen bonds mediate the characteristic L-shaped molecular structure. tRNAs have two regions of fundamental functional importance: the anti-codon, which is responsible for specific mRNA codon recognition, and the 3' end, to which the tRNAs corresponding amino acid is attached (by aminoacyl-tRNA synthetases). tRNAs cope with the degeneracy of the genetic code in two manners: having more than one tRNA (with a specific anti-codon) for a particular amino acid; and 'wobble' base-pairing, i.e. permitting non-standard base-pairing at the 3rd anti-codon position.
Source: RNAcentral